This 253-nucleotide ribosomal RNA is filed under the name uncultured bacterium. RNAcentral's name for it is "partial 16S ribosomal RNA". It matches the Rfam family "Bacterial small subunit ribosomal RNA", at positions 524 to 776 of the family's 1533-position model. The record is from RNAcentral.
GACAGAGGGGGCAAGCGUUGCUCGGAAUCACUGGGCGUAAAGGGCGCGUAGGCGGGAUGGCAAGUCGGUCGUGAAAUCCUUCGGCUCAACCGAAGAACGUCGGCCGAUACUGCCGUUCUUGAGGGAUGCAGAGGAGAUUGGAAUUCCCGGUGUAGCGGUGAAAUGUGUAGAGAUCGGGAGGAACACCGGUGGCGAAGGCGGGUCUCUGGCCCGGUACUGACGCUGAGGUGCGAAAGCGUGGGGAGCAAACAGG